This 269-nucleotide ribosomal RNA is filed under the name uncultured bacterium. RNAcentral's name for it is "partial 16S ribosomal RNA". It matches the Rfam family "Bacterial small subunit ribosomal RNA", at positions 524 to 796 of the family's 1533-position model. The record is from RNAcentral.
UACGGAGGGUGCGAGCGUUAACGGAAUACUGGCGGUAAGACGUGCAGGCGGUUAGUUAAGUCAGAUGUGAAAGCCCCGGGCUCAACCUGGGAACUGCAUUUGAAACUGGCUAACUAGAGUGCGGCAGAGGGUGGUAGAAUUUCAGGUGUAGCGGUGAAAUGCGUAGAGAUCUGAAGGAAUACCGAUGGCGAAGGCAGCCACCUGGGCCGACACUGACGCUCAUGUACGAAAGCGUGGGUAGCAAACAGGAUUAGAUACCCGCGUAGUCC